RNAcentral lists this ribosomal RNA (498 nucleotides) under uncultured bacterium. Its description in RNAcentral is "partial 16S ribosomal RNA". It matches the Rfam family "Bacterial small subunit ribosomal RNA", at positions 28 to 507 of the family's 1533-position model. The record is from RNAcentral.
GACGAACGCUGGCGGCGUGCCUAAUACAUGCAAGUCGAACGAGAGCGACCGGUGCUUGCACUGGUCAAUCUAGUGGCGAACGGGUGAGUAACACGUGGGUAACCUGCCCAUCAGAGGGGGAUAACAUCCGGAAACGGAUGCUAAAACCGCAUAGGUCUUCGAGCCGCAUGGCUUGAAGAGGAAAAGAGGCGCAAGCUUCUGCUGAUGGAUGGACCCGCGGUGCAUUAGCUAGUUGGUGAGGUAACGGCUCACCAAGGCCGUGAUGCGUAGCCGACCUGAGAGGGUGAUCGGCCACAUUGGGACUGAGACACGGCCCAAACUCCUACGGGAGGCAGCAGUAGGGAAUCUUCCGCAAUGGACGCAAGUCUGACGGAGCAACGCCGCGUGAGUGAAGAAGGUUUUCGGAUCGUAAAACUCUGUUGUUAGAGAAGAACAAGUGCUAGAGUAACUGUUAGCGCCUUGACGGUAUCUAACCAGAAAGCCACGGCUAACUACGUG